This 497-nucleotide ribosomal RNA is filed under the name uncultured bacterium. Its description in RNAcentral is "partial 16S ribosomal RNA". It matches the Rfam family "Bacterial small subunit ribosomal RNA", at positions 28 to 507 of the family's 1533-position model. The record is from RNAcentral.
GAUGAACGCUGGCGGCGUGCCUAAUACAUGCAAGUCGAGCGAACAGACGAGGAGCUUGCUCCUCUGACGUUAGCGGCGGACGGGUGAGUAACACGUGGAUAACCUACCUAUAAGACUGGGAUAACUUCGGGAAACCGGAGCUAAUACCGGAUAAUAUAUUGAACCGCAUGGUUCAAUAGUUAAAGACGGUUUUGCUGUCACUUAUAGAUGGAUCCGCGCCGCAUUAGCUAGUUGGUAUGGUAACGGCUUACCAAGGCGACGAUGCGUAGCCGACCUGAGAGGAUGAUCGGCCACACUGGAACUGAGACACGGUCCAGACUCCUACGGGAGGCAGCAGUAGGGAAUCUUCCGCAAUGGGCGAAAGCCUGACGGAGCAACGCCGCGUGAGUGAUGAAGGUCUUCGGAUCGUAAAGCUCUGUUAUUAGGAAAGAACAAAUGUGUAAGUAACUAUGCACGUCUUGACGGUACCUAAUCAGAAAGCCACGGCUAACUACGUG